GGGGGCGCUGUGCCUCGCCCGGAGCCUCACCCAGAGCCUUCUGGGGUGGUGGAUAGGUGAGGACCUCAUCGAGGUUUGAGACUUAAAUACCUCUCUACUAAAAGGGAAAUGGAUAAAAAGAUGCUGACUGCCAGGCUGGUUUCGGAUCCUUUGUAUUCUGUCAGAUGAGAACACUUGUUUACCUUCCAGGACUGACCUGAGCAUGAGUUUCUAAGAGGCAACAUCGUCUCAUGAAAGCAGGCCUAGACCAGAAGUAGGAAAAUCUCUCCUCAUUCAAAGGUCAGCUUGCCAUUUGCCAGCCAUGCUAUCCUCAGCAGCUUCUCCUUCUGCAAAGUUGGGAUAACAAAAAAGUUUCCCUCCUUGCCAACCUCCUCUGGUGACUGGGAUAAGCACACAAGAUGAUGUACAUCAAGACACAACACUCCCAGCAAACAAUGGCAUCCCAGCGGACUCUUGUGGACUGCCUGCCACGUGAUGGCUUUAGCUUCAAUUCUACUGCCGAUUCUGCUAAAGCGAGGGAGGAGUCGCAGACACUAUUGAAAUGAGGCUUUUAAGGCCAGGUGCGGUGGCUCAUGCCUGUAAUCCCAGCACUUUGGGAGGCCGAGGCUGGUGGAUCAUGAGAUCAGGAGAUCGAGACCAUCUUGGCUAACAUGGUGAAACCCCGUCUCUACUAAAAACAUACAAAAAAAAAUUCGCCAUGCAUGGUGGCGGGCGCCUGUAGUCCCAGCUACUCGGGAGGCUGAG
This 744-nucleotide long non-coding RNA is filed under the name Homo sapiens (human). Its description in RNAcentral is "ZNF22 antisense RNA 1". Lineage: Eukaryota; Metazoa; Chordata; Mammalia; Primates; Hominidae. The record is from RNAcentral.